ACGGCUCAGUAACACGUGGAUAACAUGCCCUAAGGUGGGGGAUAAUCUCGGGAAACUGAGGGUAAUACCCCAUAGGUCUGAUAUGCUGGAAUGCUUUCAGGCCGAAAACUCCGGUGCCUUAGGAUUGGUCUGCGGUCUAUCAGGCUGUAGUGGGUGUAACGGACCCACUAGCCCGUGACGGAUAUGGGCCUUGAGAGAGGGAGCCCAGAGAUGGACUCUGAGACAUGAGUCCAGGCCCUACGGGGCGCAGCAGUCGCGAAAACUUCGCAAUGGGGGCAACCCCGACGAGGGAAUUCCAAGUGCCAGCACUUUGUGUUGGCUGUUCUCCUGUCUAAAAAACAGGAGGAGUAAGGGGCGGGUAAGACGGGUGCCAGCCGCCGCGGUAAUACCCGCGCCCCAAGUGGUGGUCGAUAUUAUUGAGCCUAAAACGUCCGUAGCCGGUCUUCUAAAUCCUUGGGUAAAUCGGGCAGCUCAACUGUCCGAACUCCGGGGAGACUGGGAGACUUGGGACCGGGAGAGGUCAGAGGUACUUCUGGGGUAGGGGUAAAAUCCUGUAAUCCUGGAAGGACCACCGGUGGCGAAGGCGUCUGACUAGAACGGAUCCGACGGUGAGGGACGAAGCCCUGGGGCGCAAACGGGAUUAGAUACCCCGGUAGUCCAGGGUGUAAACGCUGCGGGCUUGGUGUUGGGGGUCCUUAGUGGGCGCCCAGUGCCGGAGAGAAGUUGUUAAGCCUGCUGCUUGGGGAGUAUGUCCGCAAGGAUGAAACUUAAAGGAAUUGGCGGGGGAGCAC
This 791-nucleotide ribosomal RNA is filed under the name uncultured archaeon. RNAcentral's name for it is "bacterial SSU rRNA". It matches the Rfam family "Archaeal small subunit ribosomal RNA", at positions 85 to 879 of the family's 1478-position model. The record is from RNAcentral.